GCCUAACACAUGCAAGUCGAACGAGAAAGUGGAGCAAUCCAUGAGUACAGUGGCGACCGGGUGAGUAACACGUGACUACCUGCCCUUGAGUGGGGAAUAACCCCGGGAAACCGGGGCUAAUACCGCAUAACAUCGUAAGAUCAAAGGAGAAAUCCGCUUUUGGAGGGGGUCGCGGCUGAUUAGCUAGUUGGUAGGGUAAUGGCCUACCAAGGCGAAGAUCGGUAUCCGGCCUGAGAGGGCGCACGGACACACUGGAACUGAAACACGGUCCAGACUCCUACGGGAGGCAGCAGUGGGGAAUUUUGCGCAAUGGGGGAAACCCUGACGCAGCAACGCCGCGUGGAGGAUGAAGCCCUUUGGGGUGUAAACUCCUUUCGACCGGGACGAUACUGACGGUACCGGUGGAAGAAGCACCGGCUAACUCUGUGCCAGCAGCCGCGGUAAUACAGAAGGUGCGAGCGUUGUUCGGAAUUAUUGGGCGUAAAGGGCGCGUAAGCGGUGCGGUAAGUCACCUGUGAAAACUCUGGGCUUAACUCAGAGCCUGCAGGCGAAACUGCCGUGCUGGAGUGUGGGAGAGGUGCGUGGAAUUCCCGGUGUAGCGGUGAAAUGCGUA
This 613-nucleotide ribosomal RNA is filed under the name uncultured bacterium. RNAcentral's name for it is "bacterial SSU rRNA". It matches the Rfam family "Bacterial small subunit ribosomal RNA", at positions 46 to 692 of the family's 1533-position model. The record is from RNAcentral.